CCAGCGGCCCUCGGAACGGCUGAGCAACGACACGGCGGCGGCGGCAGCGGCGGCGCCUAACCGCUUCGCCCACUCGAGCCGGACGCGAGGAGCACGGGGAAGCUCCUCCUCCGUCACCGGGAAACAGAAGAUCCGCCGCCCUGGUCCCUGCUUUCCCCCGUGCCCGUGGUGGGUGGGCGAGCAACAGGGCAGAAAUGAGUAAGAAAUCUGGAUAUGCUGCCGGAUAUGCUUCCAGAUCAGGAUAAUGCUUUCGAGAGAUAAGACCGGGAAAAUGACAAAGCAGAUAUCACACUACAUUUAGCCUCACCGACGAUCUAUUCUGCACCAACACAAGAAGUAGAGGAAAUAGUCCAUCCCUAAAACCAAAGCGAGAUGACGGAAAAGGGCAAACGAAUGCUGGCUGCGCAAAGUAUUACAAAUUGCCGACAGAUGCUACGGUGCUUACAUGUUACUCCGUCUAUUCAAGAACAUACAUAGUUUUUGACAAGACAUGAUCAACUGUAAUGUUAAUAUUUUUCAUAUGAUCCAAAUAUCUUUAUGCGUA
Long non-coding RNA from Triticum aestivum (bread wheat), 544 nucleotides. RefSeq lists it as uncharacterized. The record is from RefSeq and is a predicted model, not a curated record. The transcript is spliced from 3 exons. Lineage: Eukaryota; Viridiplantae; Streptophyta; Magnoliopsida; Poales; Poaceae.